Papaver somniferum (opium poppy) is the source of this 1213-nucleotide long non-coding RNA. RefSeq lists it as uncharacterized. The transcript is spliced from 4 exons. NCBI's taxonomy places the organism in Eukaryota, Viridiplantae, Streptophyta, Magnoliopsida, Ranunculales, Papaveraceae. The record is from RefSeq and is a predicted model, not a curated record.
UUCUUCUCGUCUUCUCCGUCGCAUCCACAGAAACCAGAUCUAAAAAAACUACCAGAAGCUCUUUUUCUCCAUCAGCUUCUGCACCUCAUCUUCUCCAUUACAAAACAGCAAGUGUCAUCAUCUUCUUUCUACGCCGUCUCCAAUAUCAAACCAGGAACAUCAUAUUCCUCUACCAUAUCUAUCUCCUCCACAAUCACCAACACCACCAUCGACAUCAUCAACUUUAUCCAACAAACACCAUCAUAGGUACCAGCAACACCACCAUCAAAAUGGUUUUCUGUUUGCGUAAUUUAAUUAAAUUUCUCAAAUUAGGGUUUUAUGUUAAUUCGAUUUCAGAAGAUAAGAAAUGAAGACUAUGCUCAAAUUGGUUACCGAUGGCCGUUGGAGUAGAAGAUGUUCAUGGUUUUAUUGGGUUUGGUUGAGACAAUUUGAGGUGGUGGUGGUCUGAUGUUGCUAAGAAGAUGUGAAAUUAAUGGUUUUACAGAUUACUCUGUUCUUCUCCAACCCAGUAAACAUUUGAAGAAGAUAUGGACAUAUUGGAAUUCUUGGUUUUGGUCUUUUUGACCAAUUUUGUGUUUUUUUGGAUCACUGUGCAAAUUUUGCACCAUACUGGUACUCGUUUGGCUAAAAUGACGAUUUUGAAUGAUAUGGCACCUUUUGAGUCACAAAUGCAUAGAUUUUGGAUCGCGUAGCAAGUUAUAGGAUAAUUAUGGGAUAAAUUUUGGAUUACAAGGCAGAUUUUGGGUCUUAGGACAAAUUUUUGAGUUGGGCAAGUUUGGAGUCACGUCGGCAACUCUAAAGUUGCAAUGCUAAUUUUGCGUUACAGGACUUGGCCGGAGAUCUUGAGUUACAUUCAAUGGCAAUUUUGGUUUUCGUGCAAAUGUUGAAUCCUGUGGCAAAGACUAUGGUGCAGCAAUCAAGGUAAAGAUAAAAUACUGUCAAUAGAUCAGAAAAGGGAGCAAUGGCCAUGGAAGACUUCCUCCUACACGCCAUGCACCAUCAGCUGAUUUUUAUUCAACUUAAUACAAACACUUAGAUUUUUCUCUUACUAACACAGAUAAAUACUCAUAGAUAUAGUUUAUAUAUUAAUCUUUGUUUGUAGAAUAAUUGUCUGAACAUGUAUAGAUUUUAGCACAAACUAAGAAACUCAAAGAAUCCAUACUGCAAUAUUCUGGAACAUAUCAUAACAAAAGCUAGUUACACACCAACCAAA